This 350-nucleotide ribosomal RNA is filed under the name uncultured bacterium. Its description in RNAcentral is "bacterial SSU rRNA". It matches the Rfam family "Bacterial small subunit ribosomal RNA", at positions 29 to 408 of the family's 1533-position model. The record is from RNAcentral.
AACGAACGCUGGCGGCAUGCCUAACACAUGCAAGUCGAACGAGACCUUCGGGUCUAGUGGCGCACGGGUGCGUAACGCGUGGGAACCUGCCUUUAGGUUCGGAAUAACUCAGAGAAAUUUGAGCUAAUACCGGAUGAUGUCUUCGGACCAAAGAUUUAUCGCCUUUAGAUGGGCCCGCGUAAGAUUAGCUAGUUGGUGGGUAAAGGCCUACCAAGGCGACGAUCUUUAGCUGGUCUGAGAGGAUGAUCAGCCACACUGGGACUGAGACACGGCCCAGACUCCUACGGGAGCAGCAGUGGGGAAUAUUGGACAAUGGGCGAAAGCCUGAUCCAGCAAUGCCGCGUGAGUGA